Molecule: long non-coding RNA, 1213 nt
Organism: Oreochromis aureus
Lineage: Eukaryota; Metazoa; Chordata; Actinopteri; Cichliformes; Cichlidae
Source: Ensembl
CUCUGGUGUGAGCGUUCUGACCGACCGCUUGUAUACAAGUGAAAACCACAGCGUCUGUGUGUGUUUCUACUCUUAGACUCUCAGCUGAAGAAGUGUCUUUAGAAUAAAUCUCUUGACACUUCUUCUUUUUGUUUUUCACCCAGGAGCAGGCUCUUCUCCUGCCAUUUCAUCAACAGUGUAUGAAAAUGUUCAGGUAACUGAUCUACAAAUGGAUAUCUACGACAAUGACACAAAAUAGAAAAAGAAAAGAGAUUUUUCCGGAACCCUGUCGUACCUUCACCCCUGGACCCCUAGACCCGUGAGCGCCAAAACAGAGAGAAUGAGGAGGAGCUUCUUCCCCCAGGCUAUUCUUCUAUCUUCUACCUCUGCUACACGUGCUGACAUAUUGCAUCUCUGUGUGGUUCUCGAGCUGCACAAUGGCAUACAAAGGGUCAUUACCGUCACCCAGAAAAUCAUUGGCAACCCCCUCCCCUCCCUGGAGGACCUCUACAGCACCUGCUGUCUCAAAAUGGGAUACAACAUUUCGAUAUAUGUUAUUUAUUAUGAUUACUUCUUGUCUUUCUUUUAGCAACAGUGUGCUUUUAGCUCCAAUAUCAUUGUAAUAUUAUACAAUGUAUGACUGCACAGUGACAACGAGUUAAAGAGUUAGAAUUUUUGUGAUAGACAAAUAACCUGCCCCACCUUUCACCUUAUGAUCGCUGGGAUAGGCUUCAGCCAUGCGAAAACCUGAAUUGUAUCAAUGGAUGGAUAAUACUGUGUAAUGAUACUUUGCAACAUUUUUAAUGUCAACCAGUAAGUCCUUGAAAUAGUUUCGUGAUGUUGUCUGUUUCCUUUGCUGCACUCCAUAUUGUGGUGUGUGUAUUUUCAUGUGCAUUAAAAAUAUAAAUUGAUGUUCAGUCUAUGUUUUAUGCAUAUCACCUCACAGAGCAUUAGCAAAUGCUGAAUCCCUUCAUAAAUUAAAAAAGACUACAUUUGAGUUGAGCUAAAAAACAUCUGACACUACCAAGCUCUUGAAUAUUUAUAGGCCAAGUAAUCAUUUGGCAGUAUAUUCAAAGCACAUUGUAUUUUAAUAAAAGAUAUGAUUGAAGGACAUAAUGAAUAUUCAUUACAUUUACUCCAUCAAAUGACUCUCUGCCUUUGACGUUAAAAUGACAAACUUUGUUUUCAAACUGUAGUUUUCUAUUUUUUUAAAAUUAUUAAUACUUUUUUUUUU